Molecule: ribosomal RNA, 253 nt
Filed under: uncultured bacterium
Lineage: Bacteria
Description: partial 16S ribosomal RNA
Rfam family: Bacterial small subunit ribosomal RNA
Source: RNAcentral
UACGUAGGGUGCAAGCGUUGUCCGGAAUUAUUGGGCGUAAAGAGCUCGUAGGCGGUUCGUCGCGUCGGCUGUGAAAACCCGGAGCUCAACUCCGGGCCUGCAGUCGAUACGGGCGGACUCGAGUUCGGCAGGGGAGACUGGAAUUCCUGGUGUAGCGGUGAAAUGCGCAGAUAUCAGGAGGAACACCGGUGGCGAAGGCGGUUCUCUGGGCCUUACCUGACGCUGAGGAGCGAAAGCGUGGGGAGCGAACAGG